CUUUUGAUUUAGAUCUCUCUUUUUCUUCAAUAUCAAAUCAACAAAAGUUUCUUUAUGAAUUUUAACUUUGGAUCAUGUGUGAGUAACAUAAUGAUUCAUAUUUUGUCAACAAAAUUAAAAAAACCAUGAUGACUAAUGAUUUUGGAAUAUGUGGUAAUAAGAUAAUGACGAUGAUGUAGAACACACUAUCUUAGGAUGUUAUAUGAUAAACAACAAAAUGCCAAAAACAGAAAAAUAUGGUCCCCGGCUGAAAUUAG
Molecule: long non-coding RNA, 257 nt
Filed under: Trifolium pratense (red clover)
Lineage: Eukaryota; Viridiplantae; Streptophyta; Magnoliopsida; Fabales; Fabaceae
Description: long non-coding RNA (TPRA_LNC012521)
Source: RNAcentral